Molecule: long non-coding RNA, 512 nt
Organism: Aedes aegypti (yellow fever mosquito)
Lineage: Eukaryota; Metazoa; Arthropoda; Insecta; Diptera; Culicidae
Exons: 2
Source: RefSeq, a predicted model, not a curated record
CAUGAACAAACGCCGUGUGAACAAUCGUUGAAUGACUAUAAAAGUGUCACUACUCGAUUGAGACGGCAUCAUUCGGAUAGUUACAGUUUUGUGUGAGUUGAGCUCUACAUAGUAGAUAACAAAUCGAGCGGCAGUGAUAACUAAUCCAAGUCGAUACGUGAAUUUCGGACUAGACAAGACUACAAUUUCCAUCAUUCAAAAUGCCGUGCAAGUGCUGUGGUAAUGACUGCAAGUGCAACGCCAGUUGCGGACAGGGCAAACCUUGCGGCGCCGAAUGCAACUGCAACUGUGCCAGCAAAACGGAAACCGGCAAAGAUUGCUGCGAGUCGGGAAGCAGCAAGAAGUAGAAGCCGUUUUCUGCGGAUUCCGAUAUGUGCCACAUUUUGUGAAGUUUUCAUGGAGACAUAACAAAAUAAACUUGAAGAAUUAAAGUGUUACGUUUUGGCUGUAUUGAAAGGAAAAAUGUAGAUGCUAUUCUAGUGAAAUAAAAGGUUGUGUCAUUCCGUAAAUUA